CCUACGGGUGGCUGCAGUGAGGAAUAUUGGUCAAUGGCCGUAAGGCUGAACCAGCCAAGUAGCGUGAGGGAAGACUGCCCUAUGGGUUGUAAACCUCUUUUAUGCGGGGAUAAAGGUGUCCACGUGUGGAUGUUUGCAGGUACCGCAUGAAUAAGGACCGGCUAAUUCCGUGCCAGCAGCCGCGGUAAUACGUAGGAGGCAAGCGUUAUCCGGAAUGACUGGGCGUAAAGGGUGCGUAGGUGGUUUGACAAGUUAGUAGCGCAACUCCGGAGCUCAACUUCGGAACUACUACUAAAACUGUUGGACUUGAGUGCAGGAGGGGCAAUCGGAAUUCCUAGUGUAGCGGUGGAAUGCGUAGAUAUUAGGAGGAACACCAGUGGCGAAGGCGGAUUGCUAGACUGUAACUGACACUGAGGCACGAAAGCGUGGGGAGCAAACAGGAUUAGAUACCCCAGUAGUC
Molecule: ribosomal RNA, 460 nt
Filed under: uncultured bacterium
Lineage: Bacteria
Description: partial 16S ribosomal RNA
Rfam family: Bacterial small subunit ribosomal RNA
Source: RNAcentral